Puntigrus tetrazona (Sumatra barb) is the source of this 1543-nucleotide long non-coding RNA. RefSeq lists it as uncharacterized. The record is from RefSeq and is a predicted model, not a curated record. NCBI's taxonomy places the organism in Eukaryota, Metazoa, Chordata, Actinopteri, Cypriniformes, Cyprinidae. The transcript has 5 exons.
CUCAGCCAAACAGGUGUAUGAUGGGAAGACGCGGGCUGUGAAGGGUGAAUUUUCUUACGUGGAGGAUCCUUAUGCGGUGUUCAUUGCAUCCUACGCACUGAAAGCACAGGAAAGAAGUUUAAUUCACCUGACAGUACUUGUGCAGAUUAUGAGUUUCAGAUGAAACCCUGUGAAGCUGAUUGGAAAGUACCCUGAGAUGACAUAGUAUACAGAUCAUUAGAAGAAGAAAACAGUUUUGAUGUUGAAGAGCCUGACAAGGGCCAACAGGACAUCUCUACCUGCUGACGUCACGUCAAACUCCCGCUGUCCUUCAGUGUUGUCGGCCUCAGCGGCUCAAAAAACACCGGGAGCAAAAGGUUACCUUCUCCACAGAAACAUGUAAACAGACUGAAAGGUCAUCAAACAGAGCCCUGUGCUGCAGCGCCCAUCUCUAGCGGAGGAGGAAUUUAAAAAAGAAAGGUUGUGAGGAAAAGUGGCUGGCCCUUUCAAAAGCACAGAACAGGACAAGAAGGGUAAGUGGAAGAAAGAGAAGCAGAGCGCACACGCUUUCUUCUAUAACCCCCUCCAUAAGUCUCCUGCAACUCAAUUGGGUGAAUUAGAAUAGCAAGCAUAUAUCAAUGUGUGGGACUAACCUUGUUUACCUCUGGGUCUCACGUCUGGGCCGCUGUUUUGUUGUGGUGUAACAACACUAAAAAGCAUUUCAGGUUGUUCACGGUCAAGUCAGGUAAAAAAAAAAAGGGUUCAGAUGAGUUUGAUACUCCAGAAUGAAAUAACAUGCUAGAUGCCUAAUGUUGGUGAAGUUAACGUAGAUGUACUGUACAAACAUUAAGAAGAUGGUCACUCUUUGCGAUGUGUUUAAACGUGAAUUCCCAUGCUCCUAAUGUACCGCUGGGAUUAACUCAGCGACGACAGAGUAAUAUAAUGCCGUUUGGUUUCAAAUGACGCUAGUGACAUGGAUUAGAGCAAUAGAAACAGAAGAGGAAUAUAAACCAGAGAUGACACCUAAAAUGGCUGCUGAUUUAUCGCCGUGGUGAGUUUGGUACUGGGCUUCCAUGUAUAUUAGCGCAACAAAUCUGGGUCCAUUUAGCAAGGAGAUGCUCAUACAUACAUCACCAGUUUCAGCUCCAAGCCAAGGUCACAACUCAUUGCAUCAAUCUUUUCAGCAGAGGCUACUCCACACAAGGGCAGGUUUGUAACUGUCGCCACGGUAAUAGAAUCUUUUUUUCCUCUGCUUCAUCUUUUCUCUUAUCAUGUGAAAUAUAUAUUCAACUUCUCCUCUUUCCCUCAUUCUCUUCUAUUGCAUUUUUUUUAUCUUUAAAACAUUCGGUGAACCUCAUUCUUUUUCCGCGGACACGUGCUCUGAGGAUCGUAGAUUUUUAACGCUUUCAUUUCUGGCCCUGUCAGGGGGCUUUUAUAAAAAAGAACAGUCCUUCUACAAAUAGCCUUGACCUCAUGAAAUAUCUUUGAUAGGUUUUUCCUAUGAACGUAUUGAAAAUUAAAUAUGUGUGUGUAUUUAUAUAAAUUUAUGUACAAAACUUUUGUA